AUCAAUCUGUCAGAACACCUUGAGAUGUCCUAAUUGUGAAAAAACAUAUACUACUUGAUACUUCAUUGCAAGCUUAUGUAAGGGAAAUUGACAUUUUAUAUCCCAAAUCACUUAGUCUCUCUUUUUCAAUCUUGAAACUAGAACACCUAAGUCCAAACAGUGUUGUGAAAAGCGCGUUCGGGGCGCGCUCGGGGCGCGGGGCGGUCAAAGCGAGAAUGUAAUCGCCCCGAUGCGGCGGGGUCGUGCGAGAUCCAUGGAGCGAGUGUGGGGCUCGCCUAGAGCGUCCGGGUCGCCGUGGAGCGUCUGGGUCGUCUGGGGCGAGCCGAUUUAGGAUUUAAAUAUUAGCGACUGUUCAUCUUCUUCCUUGAAUAAAUAAAAAAAAGACCCAGCUAGGAAAUAUGCAAGAGCUGAUCUGGAUACCAGAUAUAAACUUACAUACAACUUUUGCGACAAAGUGAUUGCAUCGGGAGUUCGAAGGCUCAAAGAACAUUUUGUUGGCGGAAUUAAAAACAUCACGAAAUGUACUAAAUGCCCACCACAUGUGAGAGUGGAGAUGAUCAACUAUAUGAAGAAAAAAGAGGAUGCUAAAAUACAGCAAGUUUUUACAGCGGCAGCAUCACAAAGCAGGAGAUAUUAAUUUGGUUGUAUCCGAUGAAGGAGAAGAGGUCUUACCUAUGAGUGAUGAUGAUAUUAUUUAAUUAAUUAUUUUAUGUUUUGCAACUUUUUUUGGAACUUUGAUGAUUUUUGAUAAUAAAAUUCAGUUAUUUAGUUA
This is a long non-coding RNA of Salvia splendens (bonfire salvia), 772 nucleotides long. RefSeq lists it as uncharacterized. The record is from RefSeq and is a predicted model, not a curated record. Lineage: Eukaryota; Viridiplantae; Streptophyta; Magnoliopsida; Lamiales; Lamiaceae. The transcript has 2 exons.